GGGGAAUAUUGGACAAUGGGCGCAAGCCUGAUCCAGCAAUGCCGCGUGUGUGAAGAAGGCCUGCGGGUUGUAAAGCACUUUUUAUUGGGAAAGAAAAACUUAGGGUUAAUACCCUUGGGUCUUGACGGUACCC
RNAcentral lists this ribosomal RNA (133 nucleotides) under uncultured bacterium. RNAcentral describes it as "partial 16S ribosomal RNA". It matches the Rfam family "Bacterial small subunit ribosomal RNA", at positions 356 to 480 of the family's 1533-position model. The record is from RNAcentral.